Molecule: unclassified non-coding RNA, 241 nt
Filed under: uncultured Helotiales
Lineage: Eukaryota; Fungi; Ascomycota; Leotiomycetes; Helotiales
Description: sequence contains ITS2
Source: RNAcentral
AACGCACAUUGCGCCCCUUGGUAUUCCGAGGGGCAUGCCUAUUCGAGCGUCAUUAUCACCCCUCAAGCUUCGGCUUGGUGUUGAGGCCUGCUGUAAAGGUACCCUCUAAAAUCAGUGGCAGUGCUGUCAGGCUCUAAGCGUAGUAAUUUCAUCGCUAUAGGGUCCUGGUGGAUACUCGUCAAAACCCCCCCAUUUUUUAAUGAUUGACCUCGGAUUAGGUAGGGAUACCCGCUGAACUUAA